RNAcentral lists this ribosomal RNA (451 nucleotides) under uncultured bacterium. RNAcentral's name for it is "bacterial SSU rRNA". It matches the Rfam family "Bacterial small subunit ribosomal RNA", at positions 354 to 796 of the family's 1533-position model. The record is from RNAcentral.
GUGGGGAAUAUUGGACAAUGGGGGGAACCCUGAUCCAGCCAUGCCGCGUGUGUGAAGAAGGCCUUUUGGUUGUAAAGCACUUUAAGUGAGGAGGAGGCUACCGAGAUUAAUACUCUUGGAUAGUGGACGUUACUCGCAGAAUAAGCACCGGCUAACUCUGUGCCAGCAGCCGCGGUAAUACAGAGGGUGCGAGCGUUAAUCGGAUUUACUGGGCGUAAAGCGUGCGUAGGCGGCUUUUUAAGUCGGAUGUGAAAUCCCCGAGCUUAACUUGGGAAUUGCAGUCGAUACUGGGAAGCUAGAGUAUGGGAGAGGAUGGUAGAAUUCCAGGUGUAGCGGUGAAAUGCGUAGAGAUCUGGAGGAAUACCGAUGGCGAAGGCAGCCAUCUGGCCUAAUCCUGACGCUGAGGUACGAUAGCAUGGGGAGCAAACAGGAUUAGAAACCCCUGUAGUCC